CAUAUAUAUAUAUAUGUAUAUAUAUAUAUAUACAUAUAUAUAUAUAUGUCUGAUACAUAUAUAUCAGAAGAGUUAGCUCAAAGUUAAAAAUAUUUGCCUCUAUGGUUGGGGGGAAAGUUUGAGGGUUAUAGCAUUUUGAUAUACUUUGAGUGUUUGCAUUACUUUGCUAGAAAUAUAUUUUUUAAAGCAAGUUCCCCCAACGCCCUCUGCAAAAAAAAAAAAAAAAAAUCAAUAUGGCAGAUUUCAGAAAUAGUGACCUUUCCUUACCCAUGCCAGUAGAAUCCAUCAACAAUAAUGAUCUAUCUAGUCAGUCUCAUGUCACAAAGAGGGUCUUAGGGAUGCUCUUCUUGGAGUUCUAUAGUUAGAUAGAGGCUAGGAUGGAAUCCAUGUGUGGGCAAAUUACCUUGGUUCUCUAGUCUCUUGUUUCAUCUGUAAAACAGGCACAAUAAUAGUCCUAACCUCUUCAGGCUGCUGAAGACUGAACAGAUGAUCUAGGUAAUGUGCUUAGCAUAGUCUCUGGUUCAUGAGUUCUUAAUAAGAAGUACUUGAUAAUAUCACUGUUAGCAGCAUUCAUCAGUCUCAAGGUGGAAACCAUCAUACAUUUAAGAUCUGGAACUAGCAGAAUCCAGAGCUUUUGACUUCAGGUUCUGAUUUUAGCAUGUGCAGAUGGAUAAACUGAGUUGUAACCCCAUGCAUCUUAUAUCAAGAGGACCAGCCACUUGGGGAUCCUCAAGAAUAUAGGUGCCCUCUCCCCUCUCCAACCUGUUUUCCCGUCACCUCCUCCUAACUUUCUUUCAUUGGGGUUUAUUUCCAAAUUCUCCCACCAGGUAUCUUAAGUGUUUUCUCCACGUGGAAAUGCUUUUCAGUAAAAUGAAAAUGACUGAACUUUUUAUAAAGUGAAGUUUAGAGUAUCCCUUCUGGGACUCUAUUUUUUCCCUUGAAAUUCUAGAUCAAAAUAUCAAAAAGGCCAGAGUGGGGUCCAUAGAAGAGCAGAAGCAAUGAGUUGGAAGAACUUCUGUGCACCUCUAUUAGUCCCGCUACAUGGAAUCCUUAGGCCCUUAGAGGCUUAAGAUCUAGGUUUCAUAAUGAAGGACUCCAAUGAAAGAAUGAAAGAAUCUCUGAAGUGCUGAUUGGCUGUUUCUGGAACUUGGCCCAAGUUCCUACUACAGAUGUGCCACGUCCACUUUUCUCAGAAUUCAAGUCUCCUGGUUGGUUUUUUUUUUCUCAUCCAAGAAUCUAAGAAGAGUCCAUAAAGAAGGCUGACAACAAAUGAAUGGAGAAAACACAAGCCCAAAGCCUGCAGCACAGCCAGGGACCCUCUGUGAGCUGAGUCUGUGAGUUAGGGACCAGCUGUCUUCUCCAUGAAGCCUGCCCUGAUUCUCCCCAGGGGGAAGGCUGGCCCCCUUUUCCAAACUCCCACUACAUUUUGUCCAAAUGGUGUUGGAAGCCACUGGGACUCCCCAAGAACAAGAUCCAAGUUGAAGGCACCUUUUCCACCCCGGCCAGUGGACAUGGAAGGAGUGCCGCACACACCUGUCCUGAAUGCAAGAGCAGCAGCCGAGGAAACACAGGCCCAGAGGGAAAGUGGCUUUCCCAAUCCCACGCGGCAAGGCAGAGAUGGAUCCAUCCAACUCUCUCCUCCCAGCCAGGGCUUAGCGACAACACAGCUACAGGGGCCUGAGAUGCUCAGAGGCCUGGUCCUCUGGCUGGUGGAGCCUUGGAGGCAGUAGUGAAGAUCCCUGGAAGAGGGAGGCCAUGAAGAGGGAUGCAGAUACCUGGCAAGCCCACCUCCCUUCUAUGCCACCUGCCAGCCUUCUCUGACAUUCCCAAACCAGGGACCAACACUGCCAAUCAGGGAAGAUUUACAUGCAUUUAAUUAUGCUCAAAAGCUGAAGUGGCGGGAGGAGUGGUGAACAAGGGAGAUGAGAUCAUCAGGACCCAAAAUGAUAUCAUCAGGAGCAUAGACUGAAUCCAAACAAGAAGCAAUUUAACUGGGAAAAUUUAACUUCCUGCCCCACAGUGUUCCCGUACAAACACUAGGACUACAAAAUGUACACCAACUGCUGGUGAGAGAGAAAUGUGGCGUUAGAGAAUGCUGUUAGCUGCUAUUUCCCAGAACUACUCUUUGAUAGGGCUGUAGAGAGAGUUCCAGGGGAAAGCAACCAACAACCACAUCAUAUGCAAACAAGGGAAGGAGCCAGGGAUUUUGGGCUGGGAGGAGAAGGCUUUAGAGGCCAUCUCAACUGGUCUUCUCACACUGAAAGGGCCAUGAAAAGUACAAGUCUGCUAAUUCUCCAGAACACUGGCUUUCAAGGCUGCUUGGCUGUUACCUACAGUAAGAAUUGUAUGUCAUAUCUCAAUGCAGAAUAUUUGUAAACACCCACAUGUAACUGAAAUAAGCAUUCCAGAAAAUAUUAUUGA
Long non-coding RNA from Symphalangus syndactylus (siamang), 2421 nucleotides. RefSeq lists it as uncharacterized. The record is from RefSeq and is a predicted model, not a curated record. NCBI's taxonomy places the organism in Eukaryota, Metazoa, Chordata, Mammalia, Primates, Hylobatidae.